AAACAGAGCGAGCUACGCUGCGGGAGCGCAGUUACCAGCCGGCUGCGGUCACGUGCCUGGGAGGAGGAGCUGAGACCUCAGGGGAGGGGCGCGCGGUAGCGCCCCGGGUCACCUAGCAGGGCUCUGGAGACCACGUGAAGUCUCCUCGACAGCUGCUUUGCCUCAGGCAUAAAUCAGAAGAGGAAAACCAGCUUCUGGACCUGGAGAGAGGAUGAAAGGGAAUAGGAAUUGAGGAAAGUGGAAGGGAAGAAUAAGGGACCCCUGGAGAGUCCCUACCAAGCCAGACAUAACAAACAAAAGUCCUCUACUACUGAGGAAGACAGAACAGGGAAGCCAGCAGGGGAAGAAAAAGAUGAUGCUGCUCUUGAUGCCUCAAAAACGGUAAGGAAGAACCCAGGCAACUGAUGUACACACCCUUGGAACAAAUCUGCCCCAGAAGUACAAGACACACUCUUCGAAUUCAUGGAAUAAAUGGGAGCUCCUGGCCACAGUGGGAGCCAUGAUCUCUCUCCUUUACAUGUGGCUGUGUUCCCAGAGCUUUCAUUUCCAUGUGGCACAUUUUUAUGCUCAUUUUGGGUACCCCAGUGCUCAGCAUAUUGUUGGGCAAAGAUACGUGAAAGGAGCUGGUGUAGUGAAGGAUGAAGAGAAGGCAAUGCAUUGGUUUAGACAAGUCUCCCAGCAGGACCAUCCUGGUGCUGCCUUUAACCUUGCAGUAGGAACACUGAAAAACAUGACUGGCUCCGUGGAAGCAGGGGAAUGUAGAAAUGCUCCUUAAUGUUGCUGCAAAAUGGGGGAUCCAAGAAGCCCAAGAACUUCUGGAGAAUGUUAUUUGGACUAAAAGCAAGCUCUUGCCAACUGAAAGAACCGGGAGUUCUUAUAAACCAUAAUGUGUGUCCUGCAUGCUCUUCCUGGAACAUGGGAUGUUCUGCUCUCACUUGUCCACUGUGGCCUUGCAAUGCUUUGUGGCAUUUUCAAUGGAAGCUCCUUUUACUUAUAGUCUCAUAUGCUGCUGCAGCAUUAAUUUGCUGGUUAAAAUCCUUUAAAUGAAGUGUUACUUAUAUGUUUUCCUGGGAUCUGAGUUUGAUCUCUUCUGGAUAGAGGAAUAUUUUAUUUGGGUUUCAUUACUGCUCACUUCAGCUAAAGUUUCAUUCAAGCCAGUGAGCAUUCUAUAACGUGGUAAGUGGAAAAUAACGAAGAAACCUGUCACACCAGAGAUUGGCUUCUUGGAUGUGUUAGCUGGCACUCACAGAUCCACUGAAAGAGCUAAACUCAUCAUUAGCCUAAUCUAUGACAUGUGAUGUUCUGCCUAAAAUAAGCCUGUUUUCAUUUCUCUCCAUUUCAAUUUUCUGAUCUAUUAGGUUUCUAUAGUAUUUUAUUACACUCACUUUUUGUAUUACAGUAAGUCCUUUAUGGGGGUAAAAAGGCUGUUAUUGUUGUCAAUGAAAGGGAAAAGGAUAAAGUAUAAGACCUAACAUUUAUUGACCAUCUGCCACAUGCAAGAUAUUUUCUUAGCUGUUUAAUAUAUAUAUAUAUAUAUUUGAGACUGAGUUUCGCUCUUGUUGCUCAGGCUGGAGUACAAUGGCAUGAUCUCUACUCACUGCAACCUCAGCCUCUCAGGUUCAGGAUGUUAUCCUGCCUCAGCCUCCUGAGUAGCUGGGAUUACAUGCGUACACCAUCACAUCCGGCUAGUUUUUUCAUUUUUAGUAGAGACGGGGUUUCACCAUGUUGGUCAGGCUGGUCUUGAACUUCUGACCUCAGGUGAUCUACCUGCCCUGCCCUCCCAAAAUGCUGGGAUUACAGGAGUGAGCCACCACGUCUGGCCUGUUUAACAAAUAUUUUAACAUUCACUAGUUAUAAAAGUCUUAUAAAGUGGAUCUUAUAACUCCUAUUUUACAGAGUGAAAACAGGUGUAGAGAAGUUGUGAUAUGUGCAGAGUCACAGAGUGAGUGAUAGAGUGGGGUUUUUAGUGCUGGCAGUCUGAUUCUAGAGUCAACAUUCUUAACCAGUUCUACCAACAUUACUCUCCCAAGUCAUUAACAUCUCUUUCCUAACAACAAAGAUGUUCUAAGAACAGAUAACUGGGUUUAUUACUGGCAUAUGGUGAACACUUAUCUUAGCAAAUAACUCAGCCCCAUUUUCUGACUAUGAUUUUUUUAAGGACAAACCACAUAGUCCUAUUCUUCAAAAGUGGUGUUUUUAACCUUAAUUAUAAUUAGCUGUAUUUAUCUCGUUUAGAUUAUAGCACAAUUUUCUCCUUGGAAUAUACAUGCAGAAACACAAAAUGAGGGUGACAAAAGUGUCAAACUGGAAUUCAAUAUGAUGAUUAAGCUGUGUUUAAAAUAUUUGUUUCCCUUUUGAUUGCCUUGUUUACACUGUAUACAUAUGGAAUAUGACUGUAAGCCUUCAGCAAUCUUCUCUUUGUCCAACGUGAACACAUAAACCUUUAAAGAUGUACAUGAAAUGGUCACAUGCAAUUUUAAAUUCUUUAAUGUAGAAAAUCCCAAAUUCAUAAACUAAAUUCUUCACGUGAACCUUUGGUAAUAGUAUUUUUAUCUUCUCUAGAAGCACUUUACUUUUCUUACAUUUUUCCCAGAGAAACCAGUCUUCAUUUCAGUUUAUGUUGUUCAAGAUACAACUCUGGAAAUUUUAUUCUGUGCCACAAACACUUAUAAAAUACUAGGACAAU
Long non-coding RNA from Gorilla gorilla gorilla (western lowland gorilla), 2686 nucleotides. RefSeq lists it as uncharacterized. NCBI's taxonomy places the organism in Eukaryota, Metazoa, Chordata, Mammalia, Primates, Hominidae. The transcript is spliced from 6 exons. The record is from RefSeq and is a predicted model, not a curated record.